RNAcentral lists this ribosomal RNA (2338 nucleotides) under Nanobdellota archaeon. RNAcentral describes it as "partial 23S ribosomal RNA". It matches the Rfam family "Archaeal large subunit ribosomal RNA", at positions 1091 to 2987 of the family's 2987-position model. Lineage: Archaea; Nanobdellati; Nanobdellota. The record is from RNAcentral.
AUGCUAGAGGGAAACAACCCUGACGAAAGUUAAGGCCCUAAAAUAUAUGCUAAGUGUGACUAAGGUUGUUCUGGUUCUCAGACAGUAGGGAUGUAGGCUUAGAAGCAGCCACCAUCUAAGCAACGCGUAACAGCGGACCUACCGAGAAUCAGGGCGCCGUAAAUGGACGGGGCUCAAGCAUAUUGCCGACACUUUCGCAUACUCUUCGUUAGAGAGUACAUGGGUAGAGAGGCGUAGUGCGUGGGUAGAAGUAGGGCUGUAAGGUCCUAUGGACCGCGCAAUAAUGAGAAUCCUACCAGUAGUAAUAGUAAAAAGUAGAGCGAACAUCUCUACCGCCGUAAGGGCCAGGGUUUCUUGGCAAUGUUCGUCAGCCAAGAGUUAGCCGAUCCUAACGCAAACCCUAACUGGAGUUUGCGGAAAGGGAAGCAGGUAAAUAUUCCUGCGCUAUAGAUAUACAUGUGGCAACACUAGAUUGAUUUCUGACACUUUGAGAUAAGUUGACAUGAACCAUCGUUCACGUUAAGGUAUGAAGUCCGGGAAGGAGCGUAAUGCUGAGAACCGGAUGAAGUGCUGAAGGUCUGCUGUAUGGUGGAUUCGACCGAAUCUUGGAGUCCAUGAAAAGGGAAUCAACCGGAUUAUCUAUAAUCGUACCGAGAACCAUCACUGGUGUCCCUCGGUUAAUAACCAACGGUGCUUCGGGACAAAUCCAACUUAAGGAACUCGGCAAAUUAGCCCCGUACGUUCGCAAGAAGGGGUGUCCAUUGCCAUGUCCUUGAGACAUGAUCAGUGGAUCUCAGUAAUAAGGGGGUUCCGACUGUUUAACAAAAACAUAACUGGUUGCUAAGCCGAAAGGCCUUGUAUAACCGGUGACUCUUGCCCACUACUGGUAUCUGAAACUCCGGUUCAACGGAGCUAAAGACCAGCCAAGGGCGGUCGUAACUAUGACGAUCUUAAGGUAGCGUAAUCCCUUGUCGAUUAAUUGUCGACCCGCAUGAAAAGAGGCACGAGAUCCCCACUGUCUUAAGUUGGAACCCGGUGAACCUGACGUUUUGGUGCAUAGUCCAAAGACUUCCAACGGGAAGCGAAGACCCCGUGGAGCUUCACUGCAGUCUGUGAUUGAUGCACGUUUCUGGAUGUAUAGCGUAAGUGGGAGGCGCCGAAGUUUGUCCUGCGGGACAGAUGGAGCCGACGAUGUAACACCACUCAUUUGGAGAUUUGCGUCUUACCCGAAAGGGGACAUUUAUAGAUAGGCAGUUUGGCUGGGGCGGCACACUCCUAACAACUUAUCAGGAGUGACCUAUGGUGUCCUCAGGCGGAACGGAAACCCGCCGUAGAGUUCAAAAGCAAAAGGACGCCUGAUAGGAUUCUGAACAACGAGGAAUCCUGCCACGAAAGUGUGGUUUAGCGAACCCUUGUGUCCCUCCAUCUGAGGGCCAAGGAUGACAGAAAAGCUACCCCGGGGAUAACUGAGUCGUCUCCUGCGAGAGUUCAUUGGCAAAUGUGGAAGAAAUUCUACAUAGCUGAUCUCUUGUAUUUACAAACCUGAAAAGGUUUGGAAAGCUUGAAAUUGCAUCGCAAUUUCAAGAUAUGACUCUGGUCUUCCCUUAUUUCUCUGUUUUCGCAAAAUGCGUAACGUUGAAGUUUGAGGACAAAUAAACAGAUAAAUACAUACAACAGAUAUAGAUGCAAUUUCAUGCCGAAAGGCUUUUGAAAUGCCUAAUAAUCCGGCAAGGAUUUUGAGGAACUAAAGGAGUCCUCAAAUCAUGCCGCUUUCGCGGCAAGCUUUUGGGCGUAACCCAAAAAGCCUAGAGCAAGCAAAGCUUGCGAAAGGAUUUUUAGGAUUAAGCAUCUUCAGAUAGAUCGACCAGGAGGCUUGCUACUUCGCUGUCGGCUCUUCCUAACCUGGCUGUGCAUAAGCAGCCAAGGGUGCGGGUGUUCACCGAUUAAAAGGGAUCGUGAGCUGGGUUCAAUACGUCGCGAGACAGUAUGGUUGCUAUCUGUUGGAAGUGUUUGCAUCUGAGGGCAAGGUCCGGAGAGUACGAAAGGAACUCCAGGCCGUAGCCAAUAGUGAAUCAGUGAUCCGACAGGGUCUCUGAAUAGCCACGCUAUUCUGGAUAAGAGCUGAAAGCAUAUUUGCGUUUUCGCAAAUAUCACUGAGCGCAAGCUUAAGUUGAUAUUUGCGUAGGGUACAUGCCCUGCGCGAAGCUGAUCUAAGCUCGAAGCCACGCCCAAAAAGAGAUGCAAUUGGCUCCCGUAGAAGACGGGUUCGAUAGACUGGAGGUGUAAGUGGAGCAAUCCAUUCAGCCAACCAGCACUAACCGCCAUAAAAAUGCAUACA